GCUGCGAGUUAGGUGUUGCAUAUUCCACGCGAAUGUGCAGUGUCGAAGAGAAGUCGUUAAACUCGCCGCCUGGGAAGUAUGGUCGCAAGGCUGAAACUUAAAGGAAUUGGCGGGGGAGCACCACAAGGGGUGCGGCGUGCGGUUUAAUCUAAUUCAACGCAGAGAACCUCACCAGAGGCGACGGCAGAAUGAAGGUCGGGUUGAAGACUCUACCUGACGAGCCGAGAGGUAGUGCAUGGCCGCCGUCAGCUCGUGCUGCAAGGUGUCCUGUUAAGUCAGGCAACGAGCGAGACCUGUAUUCAUAAUUGCUAACUGCUUCUUCGGAAGGACUGAGCACAUUAUGAGAACUGCCCUGGAAACAGGGAGGAAGGUGCAGGCUACGGUAGGUCUGUAUGCUCCGAAUCCCCUGGGCGACACGCGCGCAACAAUGAUAUGGACAAUGGGAUACGACUCCGAAAGGAGAAGUUAAUCCUCGAAACCAUAUCCUAGUACAGAUUGAGGUUUGCAACCCAACCUCAUGACGAUGGAAUCCCUAGUAAUCGGAUGUCAACAUCAUCCGGUGAAUAUGUCCCUGCUCCUUGUUCACACCGCCCGUCAAACCACUCGAGCAGGGUUUAGGUGAGUGCUAGUUUUUUGAUUAGUACGAACCUAAGCUCAGUGAGAUGGGUUAAGUCGUAACAAGGUAGCC
Molecule: ribosomal RNA, 688 nt
Filed under: uncultured archaeon
Lineage: Archaea
Description: bacterial SSU rRNA
Rfam family: Archaeal small subunit ribosomal RNA
Source: RNAcentral